Long non-coding RNA from Homo sapiens (human), 1551 nucleotides. RefSeq lists it as uncharacterized. The transcript is spliced from 2 exons. The record is from RefSeq and is a predicted model, not a curated record. Lineage: Eukaryota; Metazoa; Chordata; Mammalia; Primates; Hominidae.
UUCAGUUCCAUCUCUCACUCCCUAAAUUCUUCUCUAAGAGACAAAGCAGAAAAAAACUUAGAGAAGAUUAUAUAAACUGUGUGUCUAUGCGUGUUUUAAGUAUAGAUUUAAGUUUUAAGCAAGAUUUGCCAGUGUUUUAUAAGAAUAUUUUGGGUAACUAGACUACUCUCUGAUUAUUCUAAGACCAGGCUUUUAGAAAAGUGUAGGAGAGGAGGGGGAGAGAGAGGAAAAGGAGGAGCUGUGUAGUGAUAGAGACACAAAUAAAUAAUCAUCUAAGGAUAUAAUUACAAAUGAUGAUAAUUGCUAAUAAGAUUAUGUAUUUAUAAACAGAGUAGAAGUCUUAAGAUUAGCUUUGAAGACAUUUUGUUCUCUUAUAUUAAUAGAGUUUCAAUUACAAUCGUAUGCUAGCAAAAUCAAAGGGAGAUGAUUAAAAAUACUGUAUUAUUGAAUCAUCAAAUGAAUAAGUAAAUAUGAAAGUUAUGUGAAAUAUGGCUUUAUAUUGUCCCCUAAAUCUGUGAAAUGUGGGUUGUGAAAAGGUAAAUUUCAAAAUAGGUAACAAUGUAAAGCUCAAAAGAUUUUAAAAGUGAGCACGUACUGAAGAUUUUAUGUUACUCAUAUGAUAUGAAGGAUCCUGGCAGAUAGAUGGUAGAUGUUAGAAACAGUUGAAAUGAAAAGUCAACAUAGCACAAAUUUUCGUAGUGUAAGGGAAUUGGAGAUGAAUUGUCAAUGGAGGCAAAUUGGGUUUCCCACAACAGGGAAGAAAUUAAUUAAAUUUCUACCAGACAAGACAUAAUUUACAUAGCUCAGAGACAAUGAACAGGGCUAUAGAUAAUACAUCCGUUUUUAUUGAAACACAAAAGUUUUACUACAGUAUCAUUCAUUAGUCACAAGGGAAAUUGAGAUUAUGCAGGGAUGGAUGGCAUAGUGUCACUUUUUCAUGAGGAGAUAAUAACCAUACUAAUAGUGAUUAUAUUUUAAACAAAGUAACAAAAUCUAUUGCUGAAUAAUGUUGAAACUUUUCUGCAGUUUUUUUGUAAAAGAUUAUAAACAUUUAUUACCAUUUUGUUUUAAAAUUCUAACAAUCUUUCUAAAAAGCUAAUUUCUUUAAAGGUAAAAUGCUUUCAGAAGAAAAUUAUGAAUUUGGAGUGAAUUUGUUUUUAUUUUAAACUUAAAUUUGGUGGUUUUCCCUUUUAGUUGUGCUCUCCUAAGACAGAUUUGUAAUCAUAUUAAUCAUGUAAUCAUGAUAUUAUUCUAAACUCCUUAAAUUGUCCUCCAAAAAAUAUAAGAAAAUUAAGGUUAGACUUGUAUAUUGGACUUGUAUAUUCUAAUAUUGAGAAUUAUAUGAGAAAAUUAAGGUUAGACUUGUAUAUCAGCGCCUUGAAUGUUGAAAUUGUUGGCCCCACAUUAUCUAGAUGAACUAAUGUACUCUUAAUUUUGUGAUUUUUCCAAGGGUUGGGACAUGGUAUAUUGCUUAGUGCAUUUUCAGGACGAGCUUAGGAGGUGACCAAUAAAUGUACAUGUGGUGGAAAUAAAUAUGUUUGAAACCAUAAA